UAUUAGGUUGGUGCAAAAGUAAUUGCAGUUUUUGCAUUACUUUUAGUGGCAAAAUGCAAUUACUUUUGCACAAACCUGAUA
MicroRNA precursor from Gorilla gorilla gorilla (western lowland gorilla), 81 nucleotides. The record is from Ensembl. NCBI's taxonomy places the organism in Eukaryota, Metazoa, Chordata, Mammalia, Primates, Hominidae.